GAGGUACACCCUCCUACAACUAAAGAAAAUGCAUAACAGAAUUACAUAAGUGGAGGAUAACAACCUCCUAAAACUUAGAAAAAUGAAAAGAGUGGAGGUACACCCUCCUACAACUAAAGAAAAUGCAUAACAGAACUAGAAAUAACAGAAAUAGGAAUUUAGUGGCUGACUUGGUCUUUCCUACUUAUCAGUGCAUGACCCUGACUUAGUGUUGGAGCACGAUCCCGGCUCCUCCCACAGACCUUGGGUGCAGCGGAACCAGCAAC
RNAcentral lists this long non-coding RNA (266 nucleotides) under Elaeis guineensis (African oil palm). Its description in RNAcentral is "long non-coding RNA (EGUI_LNC062950)". The record is from RNAcentral. Lineage: Eukaryota; Viridiplantae; Streptophyta; Magnoliopsida; Arecales; Arecaceae.